UCGGCAUCUCAGUUGUCGUAGUUGUAGUAGUUGUUGUCUUGGGUUUAGGUUUCUCCGUUGGCUUAGGGGGUUUUGGUUUCUCAGUAGGUUUGGGCUUUGGCUUCUCAGUCGGCUUAGGUUUAGGCUUUGGUUUCUCUGUAGGUUUGGGCUUUGGUUUCUCGGUACGUUUGGCCAGUAACGGUUUUUUCGUCGGUUCGUGCUGGGUCUCCGCCUCCUGUAUUUCCGUCAUAGUAAAGUUACGUUUGUGCCACACAUAGGUAUGCGAUAUUAUGUUACUAAACAUUUUUAUAUUUGACUAUUCAUGUUAUCUACCUAAUCAAAAUUUAUUUUCUUACCACAACAACGGCGAAGCAGACGGUAAGCAACACGAACAUUGGUAGGAACUUCAUCUUUCAACGUUAUCCCUAGACAGGAGCUCCUUUGGAAGUGGAUCGUCAACAUCGACCGGGCCGUCAUUUAAUAGCCGCCCAUUUUCUUCAGUCGCCGUAAUGACGAAUCCAGUUGUUCUUGCAACUGCAAACGUGCAUUGACGUAAGUUGAAAAAAAAAGGCUCCUGUUGAUAAUAUCAGGUGAGUGCCACGAAAAUAAGUGUAUAUGUGAAACGGAUGCGAUGACGUGUUAUAUCCCGAGUGCCGAGUCUAUAGUCUCCGUUCUAUUUCAUAGAAUUUUCUUUUUCGUUUCAAGUUGCUUAUAAUAUCGCAAACAGAUAUCUGCCAGAUGCGGUGACUAUCCAGAUUAUUAAAAAAAUAAAAGCCUCGGUAACCUAACUCGCACUUGCAGCCAGUUGCGCCGUUGUUCGGUUUUUGGGGACGAGGUAACAGGUGACGAUGUACCAAGCGUAAGUAACGUGAAACAUUCGGAAGGUGACGCAUUCUCCGCUGCUGUAGUUGGCUAUGAAAUCGAAUUUUUCAUGAAAAUGACGAAUCGUAUGAAAACGCGAUUAUGCAGUUUCCAUAUCGUAUGACAGACGACGAAACGUUGAAAUUAACCUAUUUGGUCCACACAUAGGCGAGGUACCGAAUAUUAGGCGGCUGCUCUGAACAGCGUUGCGAAUCGCCUAGGUUCCUGAUGGAUUUUUUGAGCCACACCAUUAUUCUCCGCAUCCGUUCCUAUAAUGCAUGUGGGCUCUUUAAACAGACGAAUAUUUUCUACAGCAGCUGAUGAUGCUCUUAUUUGCGACGAUAAAAUGUACUUAAAUUGCAGCCUUCGUUACUCGGGAAUAGGUGAAGAUAAUACUGACGACUAUAUUGAGUAGGAGGAGUACACCACGUAUUCGAGUGUUACACGUUUGCAUAUUGCUGAGCACUGCUGCAGCGCAGCUGUAUGCCAGGUGUAGUCUAGUCAUUCUGCUAGUUAGUCAAUACCUGCUAGUCUGCUAUUUAGUCAAUAGAUUCUGCCUUGGACCAAUUCAACUCGAUUUGUUUGACAUCUGUCCUGACGAAACCCGAUUGAACCAGAUCCGGGACAAAUAAAUCGAUUGGUUAUCGAAGGCAAUUAUUGCAACGGGUAUAAAUGCCGCAUGUUCAUGGCUGAUCGAUCCACAGUUUCAACCGACUCUGCACAAUCGAGCUGAAAAUGAAAGUCCUUGCUAUCUUUGUCCUGCUUGCCGUCUGCAUCGCUGUCGCAUCGGCCGACCAUCAUGGCAAAAAGCCCAAUCAUGGUUCCCAUUCAGGAACUCGUCAUCCUGGCACCCACAAGCCUCACCACCAUCAUACGCGCAAACCCAGAGAUCUGAGUGAUGAACCGGAACUUCGCGCCAAUACUCGUGCCCCUAAGCCAACGCGUAAGCCAAACCCUACUCAUGGGCCCAAGCCGUCCGCUAAGCCAAAGCCGACUAGCGCACCCAAGCCGACUCGUCGACAUGGACCCGUCGCUCCUUCGCGCAAGCCAACAACUCGUAAGCCUUAAGUGGCGAAGACGUUAGCCUAUAUAGAGCUCACUGAUUUCAAUCAGUUGAUGCCGGAUACCGUUCUGCAUGAAGAUCUGAUCAUCUGGGGUUAUACAACAGGUGACAGGCGAUUUCCACGGUUUCCAUUAAAUAGGCUCAAAACAUUUGAAAAAAAUGGUAUGUUUAAUUUGUUGGAUUUAAUCGGUGAUUUUUGUUGAUUUCUGAUUAAAUAAAAACGAAUUAAAUUGCCUGAAAAUGUUUAUUGGUUUCUGAAUUAAAAGACCCUGUCGAAGGCCAGAGGUUUGUGUUCUUAAGUUGUGGUUUAAACUUGAAACUGAAUUGUGCAUGAUUUUCUGUUUUGCUAAUACCAGCAUACCAGAAAUUUUUAGUUAAUAUUCAUCGUAAUUAUCUUGAGUUUCUAUUGAUGUUGGUAUGUCACUAACCCCAGCAUGGACACUAGUUGUUUUUUUUUCCGAACCUGUUUAGAUAUGUUAACAUAGAGACAGCUAUGGGAGCAUAAUCAAGGCCAUGGGUAAAUCUUCAUCAGGUUUAUUGCAGAAACUUGAAAAAUUCACAUGAAAAUCAAAAUAUGCAGGGCACAUACCAACAUGUGUUGCAUUUUUCUGAAUCUCUUACUCAAGUAGUAGAUGCGAUAUGACUGUUUGAUGCUAAAUUGGAACCCUAACUCAAACACAGAUAACCGCUAAUGCUGCCUUACAGCCACAGACAAGAAAAUGAUUCUUUUCUUCAGAAAUUUUAAGUUUUAUCUUUUGUCUUGACCCCCCCAUACUUUAUACCCCCAUACCCCCAAUCUCAUCAGAUUUAUUUGUAUGUGAUGUGUAUCUGAUUAUUCAUUUCUCAUGAGUCGUGAUGUUAAGCUUCGGAACCGGAAUAGUUCGGAAAGCAAUCCAUCCAUCCGUUCCGUACGUGGUAAUUCGUGGAGUAAUCUUUUGGCUGUCGGUAGGUGGCUAAAAUCAUGUCCACCAGCCACCAGGUGGCGCGAGUGUCUUUGUGAGGACGAAAUUUUCGCCAUUGUUUCCCGAGACGCUGACUGAAAGUGUAUUCCAAAUUCAGUACGGAAUUGCGGUGUCAAUUUACAUUUUCAUCUAUGAAAUUUAAUGGGCAAUCUGGUGUAAAAUGUCCACUUGGCCAAAUGAUCUGACAUUCUGACCACAUGAGGUGAAACUGCUGUCCAUUUUGCUGAAAUGUCGUC
Molecule: long non-coding RNA, 3101 nt
Organism: Daphnia pulex (common water flea)
Lineage: Eukaryota; Metazoa; Arthropoda; Branchiopoda; Diplostraca; Daphniidae
Exons: 9
Source: RefSeq, a predicted model, not a curated record